Molecule: unclassified non-coding RNA, 301 nt
Organism: Callithrix jacchus (white-tufted-ear marmoset)
Lineage: Eukaryota; Metazoa; Chordata; Mammalia; Primates; Cebidae
Rfam family: Metazoan signal recognition particle RNA
About the family: The signal recognition particle (SRP) is a universally conserved ribonucleoprotein. It is involved in the co-translational targeting of proteins to membranes.
Source: Ensembl
GCCGGGCGCGGUGGCGCAUGCCUGUUGUCGCAGCUACUUGGGAGGCUGAGGCUGGAGGAUCGCUUGAGCCCAGGAGUUCUGGGCUGUAGUGCGCUAUGCCGAUCGGGUGUCCUCACUAAGUAUGGCAUCAAUAUAGUGACCUCCCAGGAGUGGGGGACCACCAGGUUGCCUAAGGAGGGGUGAACUGGCCCAGGUUGGAAAUGGAGCAGGUCGGAACUCCCUUGCUGAUCAGUGGUGGGAUGGCGCCUCUGAAUAGCCACUGCACUCCAGCCUGGGCAACAUAGCAAGACCCCCUGUCUCU